CAAAGCGAUAUUUCCAUACAUAGACUAUGUACACAUUUACUUCUAUAAAACGUUAUUUUGUCGAGAACUUUCAUAAUAACAAAGUUUCAGAGACACAACCUUGAAGAGUUUUAAGUGAAAUCCUUAAAUACUAAUCUAGUUUAUGUUAUUAUUUAAUUUAUGGUAUUUAGACUGGAUUUCAUUACAGAAAUAUUUUUUUAGUAUAAUUAUGAACAAUAAUUUAAUUUUGAUAAUAUGCGUAACCAAAUGUCUACUAAGACCAGAUGCAUGACAGAAGGCUUUAGGGCAGAGUUGACAAUGAUGCAGUUGAAUGUCAUUUGGAUCAAGUUUUUGAUGUCUUCUCAUGUGCACCUUCAAUGCUUCGCGUUGCGUGAAACUCUUUUCACAGUGUUGACAUUGAAAAGAAUACCUAUGGUGUCUGUAAUGGGUUGCAACUUCAGUGAUUCUCCUUGACCAGAACUGUUACUGGAUACUACUGUGAUCUAACGUUUCCUGUACUGCAGAUGAGAGUGAAUGAUGCAUGUAUAGCAAACGCCUGGAAAAAUUCAUAGAUGUAUAAAAAUGUUUGUACUGUUAUGUAGUACAGUAAAAGAAAUACAUAUUUUCGCAAUGUUAUGUUUCAUAACCGGUAUUCCUAUCAUUUGAAAGUAAGCAACAGAUGUUUUUCCCGCUGUGUCAUAUUAGGCAUGCCUCAGAUGAAAGCAGUAUAUAGAUGCUCUAUUUGUGCUAAUUAUGCCAGAAAUUGGUAAUUGAUCGGUAAUGUUGCAUGUGACUUUAAAAUGGUAACGAGACUCUAGAAUACCGUGGGCAUGGGACAGAAAAAUGCAUUGGAUGUUAGGUUUAUCCUACAUCUCGUCUGUGAUUCCUGUAAUGAAAGUGAAGAAGGUGGCGUCAGGGCACAAAGUCGAUAACUCGGUAAAGCCGGUAGUUGCUUUGAUCAGUGUAGUAUCAUUCCGGAUACACAUACGCGUAACCGACGCUCACAACACACACCAAACUCGAAGGAGUGGGGAGAAAGAAAGACAAUCACACAGAGAGAUAAACUAGAUUCCUAUUUUCGAUAAGCUAGUAAUAUCAAUGCCAAAUAGAGCCAAGAAACUUAGCCUUAUUACGGCCCGAUUAAAUAAAUAUUGAUACUUGCCUCCAAAUUAACACAGGCCAUUAUUCGAAGCGAUAAGGGGAUUGUUUCGUCGUCAUAAAUCGGCACCAUCUCCUCCUCCUUUGCCAGGCACAGUCGGCACAGCUCGUUCACGUGGAUAAUCACAUUGCUGGGGCUGUCGCCCUUUUUUCUGCUGUACGUUUUCAUUGCACCGUUUUAACACUAGUCGCCAAUUUAUUUAACCGUUGGCGUCGGAGAAACACUUAAGAGAGCUAGAGAACGGGACUCGGUCACUCACAACGGAAUCUAUAAUGGCGGCGGCGGUUGGCCAAUGGCAAACGCGUGGCGCUGCUGUUUGGUAAAGAUGGAGAAUGGAGUUGUGUGGAAGAGAGAAGGAUAUUUUAGUGGGACGAAAACAGGAAAGGAUUUUAGGGUCUUCAUCAUCGCAAAGUCGGUACACUAUAUUAAAAUUAGAAAUGGAGGAUAUUUCCAGUAACAGCAUUGUUUCGUAACCAUGCGUAUGGGAAUAAUUAUGUUUAUUUGCAAGACAUUGUAGAAUAUCGACUGUUCAGGAAGACAUUGCCAUCUUGUCAAGAGCAUUGUGUUCGUAGAGGUGAUUUCUUUAUAGUGAUUCGAAUAUUUAUGAAUGGAAAAGGUAAUAAUGUGAAUAUUUUUAAGAAAAUCAUUGUAAUUGACUAUCUUAGUUGUAUGGCAACUGCAAUAUAUAAUAUUUUCAGUGAGUGCAAGUAAUAGAAUGUUGACAUUCUCGUUAUCCCGCUCUUUUGGUAAGGUAUUGAACGUUGAAUUCAAUUAAUACUCAAGUCUUAGGUUUUAAUAUACAUUUAGUAUACAUUGUUUCAUACUGUGAAUUGAUUUUUACUAUAAUAUUUUAUGUCUAAGUUACUAUCAUAUUUGAUAACUAAAUGCAAUAAUAAUUGAAAUAAACAAUUAACAAUAUCUUUACCUAAUAGACAUCAACAACUAUACUAAGCAGGCAACAAUCAGUGUUUUCAGAAUUCUGGGUACAUUUUUCAGUUACAAUUUUGCUCUUUUAUAGAAAAAAUAUUAUUAAACGAUAAAUUGGAUAGGAAUAUUAUUUAUUUUUUGAAGAUCCGACUUAUCAGUUUUAUGUUUAUCAAGAUGUUCAUUUCCAUAUAUAACUGUGGGCUAUAAUUUAUAAU
Non-coding RNA from Nomia melanderi (Alkali bee), 2280 nucleotides. NCBI's taxonomy places the organism in Eukaryota, Metazoa, Arthropoda, Insecta, Hymenoptera, Halictidae. The record is from RefSeq and is a predicted model, not a curated record.